Molecule: ribosomal RNA, 301 nt
Filed under: uncultured bacterium
Lineage: Bacteria
Description: partial 16S ribosomal RNA
Rfam family: Bacterial small subunit ribosomal RNA
Source: RNAcentral
CAGUCGCCACGGUAAUACAGAGGGUGCAAGCGUUAAUCGGAAUUACUGGGCGUAAAGCGCGCGUAGGUGGUUUGUUAAGUUGGAUGUGAAAUCCCCGGGCUCAACCUGGGAACUGCAUCCAAAACUGGCAAGCUAGAGUAUGGUAGAGGGUGGUGGAAUUUCCUGUGUAGCGGUGAAAUGCGUAGAUAUAGGAAGGAACACCAGUGGCGAAGGCGACCACCUGGACUGAUACUGACACUGAGGUGCGAAAGCGUGGGGAGCAAACAGGAUUAGAUACCCGUGUAGUCCCUGUCUCUUAUAC